UACGUAGGGGGCAAGCGUUGUCCGGAUUUAUUGGGCGUAAAGAGCGUGUAGGCGGCCAUACAGGUCAGCUGUGAAAACUCGAGGCUCAACCUCGAGACGCCGAUGGAAACCAUUUGGCUAGAGUCCGGAAGAGGAGAGUGGAAUUCCUGGUGUAGCGGUGAAAUGCGCAGAUAUCAGGAAGAACACCCGUGGCUAAGGCGGCUCUCUAGUACGGUACUGACGCUGAGACGCGAAAGCGUGGGGAGCGAACAGG
Molecule: ribosomal RNA, 253 nt
Filed under: uncultured bacterium
Lineage: Bacteria
Description: partial 16S ribosomal RNA
Rfam family: Bacterial small subunit ribosomal RNA
Source: RNAcentral